GGCCGGGUGGCGGAAUCGGCAGACGCGCGAGCUUCAGGGGCUCGUGCCCGACUCGGGCGUGGGAGUUCAAGUCUCCCCUCGGUCA
RNAcentral lists this transfer RNA (85 nucleotides) under Isosphaeraceae bacterium. Its description in RNAcentral is "tRNA-Leu". It matches the Rfam family "tRNA". From Rfam's summary of the family: Transfer RNA (tRNA) molecules are approximately 80 nucleotides in length. Their secondary structure includes four short double-helical elements and three loops (D, anti-codon, and T loops). Lineage: Bacteria; Pseudomonadati; Planctomycetota; Planctomycetia; Isosphaerales; Isosphaeraceae. The record is from RNAcentral.